Non-coding RNA from Colletotrichum caudatum, 120 nucleotides. Lineage: Eukaryota; Fungi; Ascomycota; Sordariomycetes; Glomerellales; Glomerellaceae. The record is from the annotation of a GenBank genome assembly.
GGCCGGUUGGCCCAAUGGCAAGGCGUCUGACUACGACUACUUCUCCAUCCUGGAACUAAGGCUGGAGGCUAUGUAUGCUCUGCAAUCAGGAGAUUCUGGGUUCGACCCCCAGGCUGGUCA